UUUGCAAACCCAGCCGUGCCAUUUGAUUUCAACCGGUCUCUCCCAUCAGGUUUGCCUCAUUCCCAUAAUUUUAUGCUCUUAAUUUGGAUCAUCUUAAUGUAUGAGGUAUGAUGGAUGAAUUUCAUUAUGUUUUUGCCCACGAGUUUAAUUAUGCAUGAAUGGGUGAAACCUAUGCCUUGAAUGUUUAAGGACAUGAUUUCUGAAAUGUAUGCCACAGGGUUUGAGGUUUCUGAAACCAUAUUGUUAUCGAUGAAAAAAU
Molecule: long non-coding RNA, 259 nt
Filed under: Lathyrus oleraceus (garden pea)
Lineage: Eukaryota; Viridiplantae; Streptophyta; Magnoliopsida; Fabales; Fabaceae
Description: Pisum sativum (pea) long non-coding RNA (PSAT_LNC004777)
Source: RNAcentral